This 1588-nucleotide ribosomal RNA is filed under the name Elasmotherium sibiricum. Its description in RNAcentral is "16S ribosomal RNA". It matches the Rfam family "Bacterial large subunit ribosomal RNA". Lineage: Eukaryota; Metazoa; Chordata; Mammalia; Perissodactyla; Rhinocerotidae. The record is from RNAcentral.
ACUAAAACUAGCCCAAACGACGCUUAACUCAACUACAAUAAGCCAACCUAAACAAAACAUUUACCCUUAAAAUCAUUAAAGUAUAGGAGAUAGAAAUUUUAACUGGCGCUAUAGAGAACAGUACCGCAAGGGAACGAUGAAAGAAGUAUUAAAAGUACUAAACAGCAAAGCUUACCCCUUUUACCUUUUGCAUAAUGAUUUAACUAGAAAAACCUUAGCAAAGAGAACUUAAGCUAAGCACCCCGAAACCAGACGAGCUACCUAUGAACAGUCCAAAAAGGAACAAACUCAUCUAUGUUGCAAAAUAGUGAGAAGAUUCUCAGGUAGAGGUGAAAAGCCUAACGAGCCUGGUGAUAGCUGGUUAUCCAGAACAGAAUUUAAGUUCAAAUUUAAAUUUACCUAAAACCCCAACAAUUCUAAUGUAAAUUUAAAUUAUAGUCUAAAAAGGUACAGCUCUUUAGACACAGGAUACAACCUUCCUUAGUGAGUAAGAACAAGAUAUAUUCAUAGUUGGCUUAAAAGCAGCCACCAAUUAAGAAAGCGUUAAAGCUCAACAGUAUAAUUAUCUUAAUACCAACAAUCAAAUAACCAACUCCUAAUUCAAUACUGGAUUAAUCCAUCGACCAAUGGAAGCAAUAAUGUUAAUAUGAGUAACAAGAAAUAUUUCUCCUCGCAUAAGCUUAUAUCAGAACGAAUAAAUCACUGAUAGUUAACAACAAGAUAAGCACAAUCAACAACUUAAACCACUUAUCAAUUAAACUGUUAACCCAACACAGGCAUGCGACUUUAAAGGAAAGAUUAAAAAAAGUAAAAGGAACUCGGCAAACACAAACCCCGCCUGUUUACCAAAAACAUCACCUCUAGCAUUACCAAUAUUAGAGGCACUGCCUGCCCAGUGACAUUAGUUUCAACGGCCGCGGUAUCCUAACCGUGCAAAGGUAGCAUAAUCACUUGUUCUCUAAAUAAGGACUUGUAUGAAUGGCCACACGAGGGUUUUACUGUCUCUUACUUUUAAUCAGUGAAAUUGACCUUCCCGUGAAGAGGCGGGAAUAACAUAACAAGACGAGAAGACCCUAUGGAGCUUCAAUUAACUAAUUCACAAAGAACAAAACCACAAACCUACCCCCAAGGGAUAACAAAACUUUUACUGAAUUAGCAAUUUCGGUUGGGGUGACCUCGGAGAACAAAACAACCUCCGAGCGAUUAUAAAUCUAGACUAACUAGUCAAAAUAUCACUAUCGCUUAUUGAUCCAAAUUAUUGAUCAACGGAACAAGUUACCCUAGGGAUAACAGCGCAAUCCUAUUUUAGAGUCCAUAUCGACAAUAGGGUUUACGACCUCGAUGUUGGAUCAGGACACCCCAAUAGUGCAACCGCUAUUAACGGUUCGUUUGUUCAACGAUUAAAGUCCUACGUGAUCUGAGUUCAGACCGGAGCAAUCCAGGUCGGUUUCUAUCUGUUUUACAUUUCUCCCAGUACGAAAGGACAAGAGAAAUAAGGCCCACUUCACAAAAGUGCCUUCAGAAUAAUAGAUGAUAUAAUCUCAACCUAGUAGACCUAUACAUAAUAUCAACCCUAGACCAGGGCCAC